UACGAAGGGGGCUAGCGUUGCUCGGAAUUACUGGGCGUAAAGCGCACGUAGGCGGCUUUCUAAGUCGGGGGUGAAAUCCUGGAGCUCAACUCCAGAACUGCCCUUCGAUACUGGAGAGCUCGAGUCCGGGAGAGGUGAGUGGAACUGCGAGUGUAGAGGUGAAAUUCGUAGAUAUUCGCAAGAACACCAAGUGGCGAAGGCGGCUCACUGGCCCGGUACUGACGCUGAGGUGCGAAAGCGAUGGGGAGCAAAC
Molecule: ribosomal RNA, 253 nt
Filed under: uncultured bacterium
Lineage: Bacteria
Description: partial 16S ribosomal RNA
Rfam family: Bacterial small subunit ribosomal RNA
Source: RNAcentral